Molecule: ribosomal RNA, 153 nt
Filed under: Alternaria limoniasperae
Lineage: Eukaryota; Fungi; Ascomycota; Dothideomycetes; Pleosporales; Pleosporaceae
Description: 5.8S ribosomal RNA
Rfam family: 5.8S ribosomal RNA
About the family: 5.8S ribosomal RNA (5.8S rRNA) is a component of the large subunit of the eukaryotic ribosome. It is transcribed by RNA polymerase I as part of the 45S precursor that also contains 18S and 28S rRNA. Functionally, it is thought that 5.8S rRNA may be involved in ribosome translocation.
Source: RNAcentral
AAUUAAUAAUUACAACUUUCAACAACGGAUCUCUUGGUUCUGGCAUCGAUGAAGAACGCAGCGAAAUGCGAUAAGUAGUGUGAAUUGCAGAAUUCAGUGAAUCAUCGAAUCUUUGAACGCACAUUGCGCCCUUUGGUAUUCCAAAGGGCAUGC